UCAUUUGUCUUCUGACAGGAUAUGGUUGUUUUCCACUUUAUCAGGUGGUUCUGGACAAAAAGAAGCCAAAAAUACAAACAGUUGUAAAUAAGAUUGACGUCAUUCAAAAUGACUACCGAAAAAUGCAGCUUGAGGUGUUAGCCGGGAAUCACUCCUUGGUGACUACAGUAGUUGAGAAUGGACUGCGAUUUCGUGUUGAUUUAGCAAAAGUUUAUUGGAACUCAAGGCUUGGAACUGAGAGGCAGAGGCUUCUGAGUGGCUUCGAUCGCAAUGAUGUCAUAUGUGAUGUAUUCUCUGGGG
Molecule: long non-coding RNA, 300 nt
Organism: Hibiscus syriacus
Lineage: Eukaryota; Viridiplantae; Streptophyta; Magnoliopsida; Malvales; Malvaceae
Exons: 3
Source: RefSeq, a predicted model, not a curated record